AAGAAUUUUCACCAGUUGGCAAAAAGGGAACAACACUUGAAAGCAGAUCUCCUGUCUCAGCAGUUGCAUGGACAACUAAAUCCCUAUACAUCACCACAAUUUUUAUGAUCACAUUGAAUGAACACGUAAUUUAAGAAAAAAAAGAAGAAACUUAUGAAAUGUAUCAAUAUCUUUUAUUGAGACAGAAUAAAAAGAAAAGUGAAUCAUACAAAAUAUCGUAAGAUAAAUUACCUCGUGUUUUUGUUAGUUUUUCGUAGAACACCAGAUCUGUUGGAGGUGGUAACAGUGAGAACACGAUCACCAUUGUUGAUUUUAGAAUUGGCUAAAGGAUUGAAGAUCUGAGUUAUAGAUCUGCUGCUGCUGCAAGGAUUAACUA
Molecule: long non-coding RNA, 376 nt
Filed under: Solanum tuberosum (potato)
Lineage: Eukaryota; Viridiplantae; Streptophyta; Magnoliopsida; Solanales; Solanaceae
Description: long non-coding RNA (STUB_LNC005149)
Source: RNAcentral